GACGAUCCCUAGCUGGUCUGAGAGGAUGACCAGCCACACUGGAACUGAGACACGGUCCAGACUCCUACGGGAGGCAGCAGUGGGGAAUAUUGCACAAUGGGCGCAAGCCUGAUGCAGCCAUGCCGCGUGUAUGAAGAAGGCCUUCGGGUUGUAAAGUACUUUCAGCGGGGAGGAAGGGAGUAAAGUUAAUACCUUUGCUCAUUGACGUUACCCGCAGAAGAAGCACCGGCUAACUCCGUGCCAGCAGCCGCGGUAAUACGGAGGGUGCAAGCGUUAAUCGGAAUUACUGGGCGUAAAGCGCACGCAGGCGGUUUGUUAAGUCAGAUGUGAAAUCCCCGGGCUCAACCUGGGAACUGCAUCUGAUACUGGCAAGCUUGAGUCUCGUAGAGGGGGGUAGAAUUCCAGGUGUAGCGGUGAAAUGCGUAGAGAUCUGGAGGAAUACCGGUGGCGAAGGCGGCCCCCUGGACGAAGACUGACGCUCAGGUGCGAAAGCGUGGGGAGCAAACAGGAUU
RNAcentral lists this ribosomal RNA (512 nucleotides) under Escherichia coli. Its description in RNAcentral is "bacterial SSU rRNA". It matches the Rfam family "Bacterial small subunit ribosomal RNA", at positions 275 to 779 of the family's 1533-position model. The record is from RNAcentral. Lineage: Bacteria; Pseudomonadati; Pseudomonadota; Gammaproteobacteria; Enterobacterales; Enterobacteriaceae. RNAcentral also lists the same sequence under 2 other names.